UACGAAGGUGUCAAACGUUGUCCGGAAUAACUGGGCGUAAAGGGCGCGUAGGCGGUUUGAAAAGUCAGAUGUGAAAGCUCUGGGCUCAACCCAGGAAUUGCAUUUGAAACUCUCAGACUCGAGUUCGGUAGAGGAGGGCGGAAUUCCAGGUGUAGCGGUGAAAUGCGUAGAUAUCUGGAGGAACACCCGUGGCGAAGGCGGCUCUCUGGUCCGAUACUGACGCUGAGGCGCGAAAGGUAGGGUAGCAAACAGG
RNAcentral lists this ribosomal RNA (253 nucleotides) under uncultured bacterium. RNAcentral describes it as "partial 16S ribosomal RNA". It matches the Rfam family "Bacterial small subunit ribosomal RNA", at positions 524 to 776 of the family's 1533-position model. The record is from RNAcentral.